AGGCUCAUAAUUGGACAGAAGCCAGACGCAGAGACAUGUUUCAUACAGGAGCUGUCUUCAGAAAGCAUACAAAUCACAUGAAUUAGGCUUGAGAGAAUGAACAACACUGAUCUGAAUCCCUACAAAUGUAGACAGAACAAGCAUAAGUAACCAUCGUGGCGGUGUGGUAGCCGUAUUGAUGUCGUUUGGUUUUUCUGCGGAGAUUUUGUGUUUUCCG
This 217-nucleotide long non-coding RNA is filed under the name Capsella rubella. RNAcentral describes it as "long non-coding RNA (CRUB_LNC002677)". The record is from RNAcentral. Lineage: Eukaryota; Viridiplantae; Streptophyta; Magnoliopsida; Brassicales; Brassicaceae.